GACGAACGCUGGCGGCGUGCUUAACACAUGCAAGUCGAACGGAAAGGCCCUGCUUUUGUGGGGUGCUCGAGUGGCGAACGGGUGAGUAACACGUGAGUAACCUGCCCUUGACUUUGGGAUAACUUCAGGAAACUGGGGCUAAUACCGGAUAGGAGCUCCUGCUGCCUGGUGGGGGUUGGAAUGUUUCGGCGGUUGGGGAUGGACUCGCGGCUUAUCAGCUUGUUGGUGGGGUAGUGGCUUACCAAGGCUUUGACGGGUAGCCGGCCUGAGAGGGUGACCGGCCACAUUGGGACUGAGAUACGGCCCAGACGCCUACGGGAGGCAGCAGUGGGGAAUAUUGCACAAUGGGCGGAAGCCUGAGGCAGCAACGCCGCGUGCGGGAUGACGGCCUUCGGGUUGUAAACCGCUUUCGCCUGUGACGAAGCGUGAGUGACGGUAAUGGGUAAAGAAGCACCGGCUAACUACGUG
This 468-nucleotide ribosomal RNA is filed under the name uncultured bacterium. Its description in RNAcentral is "partial 16S ribosomal RNA". It matches the Rfam family "Bacterial small subunit ribosomal RNA", at positions 28 to 507 of the family's 1533-position model. The record is from RNAcentral.